This 24-nucleotide non-coding RNA is filed under the name Arabidopsis thaliana (thale cress). Lineage: Eukaryota; Viridiplantae; Streptophyta; Magnoliopsida; Brassicales; Brassicaceae. The record is from RNAcentral.
AGAAGGCUGACCUAUUGACAAAGG